AGGCAGCAGUGGGGAAUUUUGGACAAUGGGCGAAAGCCUGAUCCAGCAAUGCCGCGUGUGGGAAGAAGGCCUUCGGGUUGUAAACCACUUUUGUACGGAACGAAACGGUCUGCUUUAAUACAGCGGGCUAAUGACGGUACCGUAAGAAUAAGCACCGGCUAACUACGUGCCAGCAGCCGCGGUAAUACGUAGGGUGCGAGCGUUAAUCGGAAUUACUGGGCGUAAAGCGUGCGCAGGCGGUUAUAUAAGACAGUUGUGAAAUCCCCGGGCUCAACCUGGGAAUUGCAUCUGUGACUGUAUAGCUAGAGUACGGUAGAGGGGGAUGGAAUUCCGCGUGUAGCAGUGAAAUGCGUAGAUAUGCGGAGGAACACCGAUGGCGAAGGCAAUCCCCUGGACCUGUACUGACGCUCAUGCACGAAAGCGUGGGGAGCAAACAGGAUUAGAUACCCUGGUAGUCCACGCCCUAAACGAUGUCAACUGGUUGUUGGGUGCAUUAGUACUCAGUAACGAAGCUAACGCGUGAAGUUGACCGCCUGGGGAGUACGGCCGCAAGGUUGAAACUCAAAAGAAUUGACGG
This 577-nucleotide ribosomal RNA is filed under the name uncultured bacterium. RNAcentral describes it as "bacterial SSU rRNA". It matches the Rfam family "Bacterial small subunit ribosomal RNA", at positions 346 to 916 of the family's 1533-position model. The record is from RNAcentral.